Long non-coding RNA from Brassica napus (rape), 2794 nucleotides. RefSeq lists it as uncharacterized. The record is from RefSeq and is a predicted model, not a curated record. NCBI's taxonomy places the organism in Eukaryota, Viridiplantae, Streptophyta, Magnoliopsida, Brassicales, Brassicaceae. The transcript is spliced from 10 exons.
GAAUAUUCCGAGGAUCUCAUUUUCCGUCAGAAUGUCCGUCAGAAUUACGAUGUUUUCUUGUAGUUCUUGUAGUGAUCAUCCAGUUUUAAACAUCUUAACACACAAAAACUUGAAUGAUUUUGAUAAACUUGAUUUCACUGCCUAGCACUCAAUGUUUUUGAACGAUAUAUGUAAAUAGGUUAAUCAAUAAUCCAACCAUUGCAGUUGAACAGAAGCACAAUUUCUUGCCAAUAUGAAACUUAGACUCAUAGUUUACAAACAAUUGCAUGAAUAAUUUCUGAGAACAUGACUGUUUUUUUUUUUUGCUGAAUUUCUGCAACUCGGUCAAAUCAUGAAAAGUCGAGUGUUAAUAAUAAUGAUUGAAUUGACUUUUGUAGGAAUAAGCAUAACUGGUUUCGUUAUAGAACUUUAUAUAAAGAGAACGUGGUUAGUUUUUAAGUUAAAGUAAAUACAAUUAUAGAAUACUUUUAAGUUAAAGUAAAUGCAGUUAUCAAUAGAUGUAAUAUUGAUAUUAAAAAUAAUUGUUGGACUAAACUAAUAUCAACUGGACAUAUGUUCCAGAUUUAAUAGUAUUGAUUGAAAAUCAAUAUACAAUACUAAAAGGGGAAUACCCUCAUCGUUUAGGCUCUCCACGUCGGAUGAAAUAUUUAGCCAAUGGCAUCGCAUGUUUCUUCCACGUCAGAAUCGAUUGGGCCUCUAUGUUUUUUUUUUUUGAUACGGAGUUAGCCCGUAAGCCCGUUACUUUACGCAAAAAGAGAGGACCUCCUCGACGAACCUUAGCUUCCUUCUCUUUUGCGCAGACAACGAUCUGAUUCCUAAGAUCUGAUCCCUUUCUGGGUUUCGUAAUCUGGAUGUGAUUGACAUGGAUCAGAUCGAAGUCACCAAUCUCAAUCGCCAGUUCCUCUUCAGACUUGAGGAUGAGGAAAGCCUAAGGAAGAGGUAGCUGCAAAGCGUGUCAUGGAGAGAGUGAGUGGAGUGGAGAUUGUGCCGCAUUUUUCACGUAUAGAAGACAAAGAGCUUGAAUUUUAUAACUAUUUUAAUAUCAUUGCUCUUGGUCUUGAUUCCAUCGAAGCUGCUCUAUUUUUUAUUAGUGGCUCUCACCUUGGUCUGACGAGUCUGAUCAUGCUGUUAAAUCAAUUUCUCAAAUUAAGGCUGCUCUAUUUUUUGAAGCUGCUCUAGAGUUAGUAGUCGUUUGAACCUGCUCUAUUUUUUAUUUGAUCAAAGACCAAUAAUCGCUUCUGCAGCUGAGUCUUUUGUUAACCGCAUCCAUGGUGAAGCACUCACAAGAACACAAUAACCAGACCAAGUCUUGCAAGGCUAGAGGAUCGAAAUAGAAGUUUCCGAUAUUCAUAGGAAUCAAUGGGACAAUCUCAAAUUGGUCAAUCUUAGGGUUCACUUCAAGAACACUCGCUAAACAAUGCACGCUGUCAGGAAGCUAUCAGGAAGCUACCAUUGCUCAAGGCCAAGAGGUACCUUGAGGAUGUGAUAGCUCACAAACAGGCUAUUACUUUCACCCGUUUCUGCAGAGGUGUUGGAAGGAAUGCUCUAGCUAAUAACAUGCAUUCCAAUGGUCAAGAACGUUGGCCUGCUAAAUCUGCUCAAUUUGUUCUUGAUUCUCUCAAGAACGCUGAGAUCAAUGCUGAGGUUGUAUCUACCUUUCAAACGUAACCUACGACAGUGGUGUCAUCCCAUAUACUUCUUUCUGAUUUGAAGUGCGGUUUCUGUCCUGAAACUGUGGUCACGCGCCUGCUGCGUUUUUGGGAAACAAGAAACGUGAAGAAGGGGAGGGAGGGGAGUUAAUGGGGGUUUGACAUGCUCCUCCUUGAUGCAAAGGUUUGUCUCUUCUAAUUUCAUUGAUGAUAAAUUAUAGAUCUUUCAGUUCCUUCUCAUAAACUGAUGAGCAGGUUUGUCUCCUAUAUUCCCUCAAUGAUAUCUUUUGGCGUCAAGCCUAAGGUGAUCGUAGCUACCAGCAUUAAUCCAAAAUUCGUCGGAGGUAGCUAUCUUGAACUUCAUCUUUAAAACAAGUUUAACUAUCUUUGUCAAUCUCCCAGGCCGCCUCUUACUGAAUGCAACUUCUGGCACUCAUUUCUGUUUCGACAAAGACAAACGCAAGUGAGACCUUCAUCCGAUUUGGGUGUUGGUGACGUGAACUGCUUCACAAGUUUCACCAAAUAUGAAGGUGUAAGAAAAUUGAAGUUGUGACGGUCUUUGAGCUUAACACAUACGUUGUUAACUCGACCCCACAGGUUACCGAGUUUUGUGCACUGAAAAAGCUGAGUUGAUUGAAACGGGCAGUGGCUGUGCUACAUAUCCUGCUCUAAUGGGAUCUCUUCCUGCAUGUAGUGACUUAACCUCUGUUGGUGUUGUCAGAUGGUGACAAGACAAGUGCCACUGAUCCGAGCACUUGACGUAAUGACCUCUCCAUGAACCCCAGGGGUCCAUCUGCAGCAGAAGCAACAAGUGAUGAACUCAAUUAUGGCAGAAUCAUUGCAUAGCAACAACAGCUUCCAGGAGCUGGUUACCCACUCAAGAAGGCUCGCACAGAUUGAUUUUGAGGAUAAAUACAUGCAGUGUUUCAUGCGUGACAAUCCAAAAUCACAAACUUUGACGACCCUAAUUUUAUUAACAAGAAGUCAAGAAGGUUCGAAGAUUUUAACUCCCUAUGUAAGUUGGGUGACUGGUGUGCCAGUAGUUCAUAUCUUUAACUUGCAAUAUGACAGAUAUUGAACAAGUGUUCAAGCAUUAAUAUGACAAUGCUAUCUAUCUUUAUGGUAUAAUAAUAUUAUGGAGAGAA